GAAGGCUGAGCUGUGAUGGGGAAGCUCCUUAUGGAGCGAAGUCUUUGAUUCCCCGCUGCCAAGAAAAGCUUCUAGCGAGAUAAAAGGUGCCUGUACCGCAAACCGACACAGGUAGGCGAGGAGAGAAUCCUAAGGUGUGCGAGAGAACUCUGGUUAAGGAAUCUCAAAAUGACCCCGUAACUUCGGGAGAAGGGGUGCUUUCUUAACGGAAAGCCGCAGUGAAUAGGCCCAAGCGACUGUUUAGCAAAAACACAGCUCUCUGCGAAGCCGUAAGGCGAAGUAUAGGGGGUGACACCUGCCCGGUGCUGGAAGGUUAAGGGAGAGGGGUUAGCGUAAGCGAAGCUCUGAACUGAAGCCCCAGUAAACGGCGGCCGUAACUAUAACGGUCCUAAGGUAGCGAAAUUCCUUGUCGGGUAAGUUCCGACCCGCACGAAAGGUGUAACGAUUUGGGCACUGUCUCAACCAGAGACUCGGUGAAAUUAUAGUACCUGUGAAGAUGCAGGUUACCCGCGACAGGACGGAAAGACCCCGUGGAGCUUUACUGUAGCCUGAUAUUGAAUUUUGGUACAGUUUGUACAGGAUAGGCGGGAGCCAUUGAAACCGGAGCGCUAGCUUCGGUGGAGGCGCUGGUGGGAUACCGCCCUGACUGUAUUGAAAUUCUAACCUACGGGUCUUAUCGACCCGGGAGACAGUGUCAGGUGGGCAGUUUGACUGGGGCGGUCGCCUCCUAAAGUGUAACGGAGGCGCCCAAAGGUUCCCUCAGAAUGGUUGGAAAUCAUUCGUAGAGUGCAAAGGCAUAAGGGAGCUUGACUGCGAGACCUACAAGUCGAGCAGGGACGAAAGUCGGGCUUAGUGAUCCGGUGGUUCCGCAUGGAAGGGCCAUCGCUCAACGGAUAAAAGCUACCCCGGGGAUAACAGGCUUAUCUCCCCCAAGAGUCCACAUCGACGGGGAGGUUGGCACCUCGAUGUCGGCUCAUCGCAUCCUGGGGCUGUAGUCGGUCCAAGGGUUGGGCUGUUCGCCCAUUAAAGCGGUACGCGAGCUGGGUUCAGAACGUCGUGAGACAGUUCGGUCCCUAUCCGUCGUGGGCGUAGGAAAUUUGAGAGGAGCUGUCCUUAGUACGAGAGGACCGGGAUGGACGCACCGCUGGUGUACCAGUUGUUCUGCCAAGGGCAUAGCUGGGUAGCUAUGUGCGGAAGGGAUAAGUGCUGAAAGCAUCUAAGCAUGAAGCCCCCCUCAAGAUGAGAUUUCCCAUAGCGUAAGCUAGUAAGAUCCCUGAAAGAUGAUCAGGUUGAUAGGUUCGAGGUGGAAGCAUGGUGACAUGUGGAGCUGACGAAUACUAAUAGAUCGAGGACUUAACCAU
Molecule: ribosomal RNA, 1361 nt
Filed under: Bacillus cereus
Lineage: Bacteria; Bacillati; Bacillota; Bacilli; Caryophanales; Bacillaceae
Description: bacterial LSU rRNA
Rfam family: Bacterial large subunit ribosomal RNA
Source: RNAcentral